This 404-nucleotide ribosomal RNA is filed under the name Bacillota bacterium. Its description in RNAcentral is "Firmicutes bacterium partial 16S ribosomal RNA". It matches the Rfam family "Bacterial small subunit ribosomal RNA", at positions 355 to 776 of the family's 1533-position model. The record is from RNAcentral. Lineage: Bacteria; Bacillati; Bacillota.
UGGGGAAUAUUGGACAAUGGGCGAAAGCCUGAUCCAGCAAUGCCGCGUGAGUGAUGAAGGCCUUCGGGUUGUAAAGCUCUUUUACCCGGGAUGAUAAUGACAGUACCGGGAGAAUAAGCCCCGGCUAACUCCGUGCCAGCAGCCGCGGUAAUACGGAGGGGGCUAGCGUUGUUCGGAAUUACUGGGCGUAAAGCGUACGUAGGCGGCUUUGUAAGUUAGAGGUGAAAGCCCGGGGCUUAACCCCGGAAUUGCCUUUAAGACUGCAUCGCUUGAAUCAUGGAGAGGUGAGUGGAAUUCCGAGUGUAGAGGUGAAAUUCGUAGAUAUUCGGAAGAACACCAGUGGCGAAGGCGACUCACUGGACAUGUAUUGACGCUGAGGUACGAAAGCGUGGGGAGCAAACAGG